RNAcentral lists this transfer RNA (74 nucleotides) under Magnolia biondii. RNAcentral's name for it is "tRNA-His". Lineage: Eukaryota; Viridiplantae; Streptophyta; Magnoliopsida; Magnoliales; Magnoliaceae. The record is from RNAcentral.
GACGGGGAAUCUCCAUAGGAACUAGUCCUCAGAUUUCGCACGUAGGAGAUCGAGACACAGCCCCAGGGCUAUGG